CGACUCAAGCGGCUUUCAACGGCGCUAUCAACCGAACUGUGUGUCGCGUGUUGAUAUGUUGUUUGAAUGCCCCUUGAAUCG
This 81-nucleotide microRNA precursor is filed under the name Caenorhabditis japonica. Its description in RNAcentral is "mir-90 microRNA precursor family". It matches the Rfam family "mir-90 microRNA precursor family". The record is from Rfam by way of RNAcentral. Lineage: Eukaryota; Metazoa; Nematoda; Chromadorea; Rhabditida; Rhabditidae.